Molecule: ribosomal RNA, 274 nt
Filed under: uncultured bacterium
Lineage: Bacteria
Description: partial 16S ribosomal RNA
Rfam family: Bacterial small subunit ribosomal RNA
Source: RNAcentral
AUACGGAGGGUGCAAGCGUUAUUCUGAAUCACUGGGCGUAAAGGACGCGUAGGCGGGUUGGCAAGUCAGAUGUGAAAUCCUACAGCUUAACUGUAGAACUGCAUUUGAAACUGCUAACCUAGAGUAUGGGAGGGGGAGAUGGAAUUAGUGGUGUAGGAGUAAAAUCCGUAGAUAUCACUAGGAAUACCGAAAGCGAAGGCGAUCUCCUGGAACAUAACUGACGCUAAGGCGUGAAAGCGUGGGGAGCAAACAGGAUUAGAAACCCUAGUAGUCC